Molecule: transfer RNA, 85 nt
Filed under: Felis catus (domestic cat)
Lineage: Eukaryota; Metazoa; Chordata; Mammalia; Carnivora; Felidae
Rfam family: tRNA
About the family: Transfer RNA (tRNA) molecules are approximately 80 nucleotides in length. Their secondary structure includes four short double-helical elements and three loops (D, anti-codon, and T loops).
Source: Rfam by way of RNAcentral
GCCUGCGUGGCUCAGUCCGUUGAGCGUCUGACUUCAGCUCAGGUCAUGAUCUCACAGUUUGUGGGUUCGAACCCCGUGCCGGGCU